GGCUAGGAUGGUAGUAGGUUAUUAGAACUUAUUAACAUUAGUGUCACUAAAGUUGAAAUUCAACCCCCCACUGCUAAAUUUGACUGGCUUUUA
Molecule: Y RNA, 93 nt
Filed under: Propithecus coquereli (Coquerel's sifaka)
Lineage: Eukaryota; Metazoa; Chordata; Mammalia; Primates; Indriidae
Description: Y RNA (ENSPCOG00000001828.1)
Rfam family: Y RNA
About the family: Y RNAs are components of the Ro ribonucleoprotein particle (Ro RNP), in association with Ro60 and La proteins. The Y RNAs and Ro60 and La proteins are well conserved, but the function of the Ro RNP is not known.
Source: Rfam by way of RNAcentral